RNAcentral lists this ribosomal RNA (546 nucleotides) under uncultured bacterium. Its description in RNAcentral is "partial 16S ribosomal RNA". It matches the Rfam family "Bacterial small subunit ribosomal RNA", at positions 355 to 890 of the family's 1533-position model. The record is from RNAcentral.
UAGGGAAUCUUCGGCAAUGGACGAAAGUCUGACCGAGCAACGCCGCGUGAGUGAAGAAGGUUUUCGGAUCGUAAAAACUCUGUUGUUAGAGAAGAACAAGGAUGAGAAGAGAAUGUUCAUCCCUUGACGGUAUCUAACCAGAAAGCCACGGCUAACUACGUGCCAGCAGCCGCGGUAAUACGUAGGUGGCAAGCGUUGUCCGGAUUUAUUGGGCGUAAAGCGAGCGCAGGCGGUUCUUUAAGUCUGAUGUGAAAGCCCCCGGCUCAACCGGGGAGGGUCAUUGGAAACUGGGGAACUUGAGUGCAGAAGAGGAGAGUGGAAUUCCAUGUGUAGCGGUGGAAUGCGUAGAUAUAUGGAAGAAUACCAGUGGCGAAGGCGGCUCUCUGGUCUGCAACUGACGCUGAGGCUCGAAAGCAUGGGUAGCGAACAGGAUUAGAUACCCUGGUAGUCCAUGCCGUAAACGAUGAGUGCUAAGUGUUGGGAGGCUUCCGCCUCUCAGUGCUGCAGCUAACGCAUUAAGCACUCCGCCUGGGGAGUACGACCGCA